AGCAGCCGCGGUAAUUCCAGCUCCAAUAGCGUAUAUUAAAGUUGCUGCAGUUAAAAAGCUCGUAGUUGAAUUUCGGGACUAAUAUGUCGGUCGUGCCUUGGUACGUACUGGUAUUUUUGGUUUCUCCCUUCUGACGAACCUUGAUGUCAUUAAUUUGGUGUCUUGGGAAAUCAGGACUGUUACUUUGAAAAAAUUAGAGUGUUUAAAGCAGGCUCACGCUUGAAUACAUUAGCAUGGAAUAAUGAAAUAGGACGUUUGAUUCUAUUUUGUUGGUUUCUAGGAUCGACGUAAUGAUUAAUAGGGAUAGUUGGGGGCAUUAGUAUUCAAUUGUCAGAGGUGAAAUUCUUGGAUUUAUUGAAGACUAACUACUGCGAAAGCAUUUGCCAAGGAUGUUUUCAUUAAUCAAGAACGAAAGUUAGGGGAUCGAAGACGAUCAGAUACCGUCGUAGUCUUAACCAUAAACUAUGCCGACUAGGGAUCGGAUGAUGUUAAUUUUUUAAUGACUCAUUCGGCGCCUUAC
This 520-nucleotide unclassified non-coding RNA is filed under the name uncultured Glomus. RNAcentral describes it as "SSU rRNA". It matches the Rfam family "Eukaryotic small subunit ribosomal RNA", at positions 569 to 1091 of the family's 1831-position model. The record is from RNAcentral. Lineage: Eukaryota; Fungi; Glomeromycota; Glomeromycetes; Glomerales; Glomeraceae.